Trichobilharzia regenti is the source of this 45-nucleotide non-coding RNA. The record is from Rfam. Lineage: Eukaryota; Metazoa; Platyhelminthes; Trematoda; Strigeidida; Schistosomatidae.
AUCCAGAUGACGAGUCCGAAAUAGGAUGGAAUGCACAUCCUGGAU